RNAcentral lists this ribosomal RNA (606 nucleotides) under uncultured fungus. Its description in RNAcentral is "eukaryotic LSU rRNA". It matches the Rfam family "Eukaryotic large subunit ribosomal RNA", at positions 23 to 641 of the family's 3401-position model. The record is from RNAcentral. Lineage: Eukaryota; Fungi.
ACCCGCUGAACUUAAGCAUAUCAAUAAGCGGAGGAAAAGAAACCAACAGGGAUUGCCUUAGUAACGGCGAGUGAAGCGACAAUAGCUCAAAUUUGAAAUCUGGCGUCUUUGGGCGUCCGAGUUGUAAUUUGUAGAGGAUGUUUCGGGUACGGUCCGGGCUUAAAUUUCUUGGAACAGAAUGUCAGAGAGGGUGAGAAUCCCGUCUGGAGUCUGCGACACGGCCUAUGUGAAACUCCUUCGACGAGUCGAGUUGUUUGGGAAUGCAGCUCUAAAUGGGUGGUAAAUUUCAUCUAAAGCUAAAUAUUGGCCAGAGACCGAUAGCGCACAAGUAGAGUGAUCGAAAGAUGAAAAGCACUUUGAAAAGAGAGUUAAACAGUAUGUGAAAUUGUUGAAAGGGAAGCGCUGGCAACCAGACUUGCGCGUGGCGGUUCCCCCUUGCUUCUGCUUGGGUUACUCCGUCGCGUUCAGGCCAACAUCGGUUUCGGGGGUCGGUUAAAGGCUCUGGGAAUGUAUCUACUCUUCGGGGUAGACUUAUAGCCCAGGGUGUCAUGCGACCUCCCGGGACCGAGGAACGCGCUUCGGCUCGGAUGUUGGCGUAAUGGUUGU